This 253-nucleotide ribosomal RNA is filed under the name uncultured bacterium. RNAcentral's name for it is "partial 16S ribosomal RNA". It matches the Rfam family "Bacterial small subunit ribosomal RNA", at positions 524 to 776 of the family's 1533-position model. The record is from RNAcentral.
UACGGGGGGGGCAAGCGUUGUUCGGAAUUACUGGGCGUAAAGGGCUUGUAGGUGGCCAACUAAGUCAGACGUGAAAUCCCUCGGCUUAACCGGGGAACUGCGUCUGAUACUGGAUGGCUAGAGUUUGGGAGAGGGAUGCGGAAUUCCAGGUGUAGCGGUGAAAUGCGUAGAUAUCUGGAGGAACACCGGUGGCGAAGGCGGUUCUCUGGGCCUUACCUGACGCUGAGGAGCGAAAGCGUGGGGAGCAAACAGG